Molecule: ribosomal RNA, 497 nt
Filed under: uncultured bacterium
Lineage: Bacteria
Description: partial 16S ribosomal RNA
Rfam family: Bacterial small subunit ribosomal RNA
Source: RNAcentral
GAUGAACGCUGGCGGCGUGCCUAAUACAUGCAAGUCGAGCGAACAGACGAGGAGCUUGCUCCUCUGACGUUAGCGGCGGACGGGUGAGUAACACGUGGAUAACCUACCUAUAAGACUGGGAUAACUUCGGGAAACCGGAUCUAAUACCGGAUAAUAUAUUGAAUCGCAUGGUUCAAUAGUGAAAGACGGUUUUGCUGUCACUUAUAGAUGGAUCCGCGCCGCAUUAGCUAGUUGGUAAGGUAACGGCUUAGCAAGGCAACGUUGCGUAGCCGACAUGAGAGGGUGAUCGGCCACCCUGGAACUGAGACACGGUCCAGACUCCUACGGGAGGCAGCAGUAGGGAAUCUUCCGCAAUGGGCGAAAGCCUGACGGAGCAACGCCGCGUGAGUGAUGAAGGUCUUCGGAUCGUAAAACUCUGUUAUUAGGGAAGAACAAAUGUGUAAGUAACUAUGCACGUAUUGACGGUACCUAAUCAGAAAGCCACGGCUAACUACGUG